AUGGAAGUCUCGUCAGUUUUGUUAGUUCAUUAUGUCUCUCCUGGGCUUGUGUUCCUCCUCCCUGCCUCUCCACAGAGGGAUGUGCCAGGGACGAUCGCUCCCCCUCCUCUGGAUUUGGUACGUGGCCAGAGGACAACGCGCCCGGCCCCGCCGCGCUGCCCCCGGGGCUGCCAGCACCCCUUUCCCUGGACUGUGACGCCAUCGUGGCCCCAGCCACGGGCUGUGUGCUGCCUCCAUCCCUCCAUCCCUCCCUCCAUCCCCAGGACCUCCUCCCUGCCUGAGCUUUGCCAUCCGGCUGCACUGAAACCCAGCCGGGGCCAGGUCCUGGGCGUCCCCAGCUCCCCCUGCCCCGGGGGCAGCUCGGCUGAAGGAAUCGAAAGGCAACAUGGGUUUUGCAUGUUUUCUGGCAUGAAUUAAAACACUUAACUUGUGUCUGUGUGAGUGUAAGUUUGUUUGUUCUAGCGUUUGUGUAACCGUUAGCAACAGGUCUUGGCCCAACGGAUUGAUCCAUCAAGGUUUUCCUCUUGCUUCGGUGAAGACUUGGCUUUGAGAAAUACUAACUGUCCUUGUCUCACCCCUUCUCCCACCUCCACCCUCCCCUCCCCAGGACGACCAGAAAAAUUUGAAAAAUGCUUUUUUUUUCUUUUUUUUUUUUUUUUAAAGUAUGAUGCACUGGGUUUUUGUUCUCAUCCAUUCUGCUUGUUUUAAAGUCAGGGUUAUUAUAUUAUUUUUUUCCUUCUUCAAACUUCUAUAUAUAGAACAGCUGUAAAAUAUCUAACCUUUUUUUUUUUUCCUCCACAUUCUUCUGAUUGGAGAGCAUCCAGUCUUGCCAAAUAAUCAGCCAUCCUUAUGGGAAUACCGAACAAAAAAAAAAAAAGUACGAGUAUUUUUGUACCAUGUGUAAUAAGGAAAUAUUUAUGCAUCAUAAAGAAUUUCUUGUGUGUUUGUGUGCAAUUAAUUAUUAUUAUUAUUAUUAAAGAGAAAUUGUAAUCCUGUAAGAUAAGUUAAUGUUUAGUUAAAAGCUUGAAAAAGAAGGGUUGUCUUCUGUACCAAUGAUUCAGUCAGGCAUAGUAAACAAGAAAUUGUGCAAUUUUUGUUUUAGCAUCUUAUUGCUUGGUAUUGAAGUGCUUUAAGUAUUAUCUGACCAUGGCUGUCUCGCUUGUAUUAAAAGAUUUGAGAAUAAGUUGCUCUAUAAUUGCUGAUCCUAUGAGAAUGUGAAACUGGAUAAUAUAUGAAAUGCAACCAAAAAAAAAAUAUAUAUACCCAGAGGCUGCUGUGACUUUUUCUGUGGUCUUGGGUGUUUUCUUGUGGGAAUGGUGUGGGAUGCUUCAGGCCUGGCCUGGCCCCGUUUCCCAGGCUGGAAGGAUGCGGGCUGCUUUGGGAUGCAGCUGAG
Long non-coding RNA from Geospiza fortis (medium ground-finch), 1393 nucleotides. The record is from Ensembl. NCBI's taxonomy places the organism in Eukaryota, Metazoa, Chordata, Aves, Passeriformes, Thraupidae.